GACGAACGCUGGCGGCGUGCUUAACACAUGCAAGUCGAACGGAAAGGCCCUGCUUUUGUGGGGUGCUCGAGUGGCGAACGGGUGAGUAACACGUGAGUAACCUGCCCUUGACUUUGGGAUAACUUCAGGAAACUGGGGCUAAUACCGGAUAGGGGCUCCUGCUGCAUGGUGGGGGUUGGAAAGUUUCGGCGGUUGGGGAUGGACUCGCGGCUUAUCAGCUUGUUGGUGGGGUAGUGGCUUACCAAGGCUUUGACGGGUAGCCGGCCUGAGAGGGUGACCGGCCACAUUGGGACUGAGAUACGGCCCAGACUCCUACGGGAGGCAGCAGUGGGGAAUAUUGCACUAUGGGCGGAAGCCUGAUGCAGCAACGCCGCGUGCGGGAUGACGGCCUUCGGGUUGUAAACCGCUUUCGCCUGUGACGAAGCGUGAGUGACGGUAAUGGGUAAAGAAGCACCGGCUAACUACGUGCCAGCAGCCGCGGUGAUACGUAGGGUGCGAGCGUUGUCCGGAUUUAUUGGGCGUAAAGGGCUCGUAGGUGGUUGAUCGCGUCGGAAGUGUAAUCUUGGGGCUUAACCCUGAGCGUGCUUUCGAUACGGGUUGACUUGAGGAAGGUAGGGGAGAAUGGAAUUCCUGGUGGAGCGGUGGAAUGCGCAGAUAUCAGGAGGAACACCAGUGGCGAAGGCGGUUCUCUGGGCCUUUCCUGACGCUGAGGAGCGAAAGCGUGGGGAGCGAACAGGCUUAGAUACCCUGGUAGUCCACGCUGUAAACGGUGGGUACUAGGUGUGGGGUCCAUUCCACGGGUUCCGUGCCGUAGCUAACGCUUUGAGUACCCCGCCUGGGGAGUACGGCCGCAAGGCUAAAACUCAAAGGAAUUGACGGGGCCCCGCACAAGCGGCGGAGCAUGCGGAUUAAUUCGAUGCAACGCGUAGAACCUUACCUGGGUUUGACAUGGAUCGGGAGCGCUCAGAGAUGGGUGUGCCUCUUUUGGGGUCGGUUCACAGGUGGUGCAUGGCUGUCGUCAGCUCGUGUCGUGAGAUGUUGGGUUAAGUCCCGCAACGAGCGCAACCCUUGUUCACUGUUGCCAGCACGUUAUGGUGGGGACUCAGUGGAGACCGCCGGGGUCAACUCGGAGGAAGGUGGGGAUGACGUCAAGUCAUCAUGCCCCUUAUGUCCAGGGCUUCACGCAUACUACAAUGGCUGGUACAGAGAGUGGCGAGCCUGUGAGGGUGAGCGAAUCUCGGAAAGCCGGCCUCAGUUCGGAUUGGGGUCUGCAACUCGACCUCAUGAAGUCGGAGUCGCUAGUAAUCGCAGAUCAGCAACGCUGCGGUGAAUACGUUCCCGGG
Molecule: ribosomal RNA, 1343 nt
Filed under: uncultured bacterium
Lineage: Bacteria
Description: 16S ribosomal RNA
Rfam family: Bacterial small subunit ribosomal RNA
Source: RNAcentral